Molecule: non-coding RNA, 24 nt
Filed under: Cricetulus griseus (Chinese hamster)
Lineage: Eukaryota; Metazoa; Chordata; Mammalia; Rodentia; Cricetidae
Source: RNAcentral
UAUACCGACUCGGAGGGCUGCUAC